This 253-nucleotide ribosomal RNA is filed under the name uncultured bacterium. Its description in RNAcentral is "partial 16S ribosomal RNA". It matches the Rfam family "Bacterial small subunit ribosomal RNA", at positions 524 to 776 of the family's 1533-position model. The record is from RNAcentral.
UACGUAGGGGGCAAGCGUUGUCCGGAAUUAUUGGGCGUAAAGAGCGCGUAGGCGGUCCGGUAAGUCAGCUGUGAAAGUCAAGGGCUCAACCCUUGAAAGCCGGUUGAUACUGUCGGGCUAGAGUCCGGAAGAGGCGAGUGGAAUUCCCGGUGUAGCGGUGAAAUUCGUAGAUAUUCGGAAGAACACCAGUGGCGAAGGCGGCUCACUGGACCGGUAUUGACGCUGAGGUGCGAAAGCGUGGGGAGCAAACAGG